This is a non-coding RNA of Danio rerio (zebrafish), 72 nucleotides long. Lineage: Eukaryota; Metazoa; Chordata; Actinopteri; Cypriniformes; Danionidae. The record is from Rfam.
GGGGAUGUAGAUCAGUGGUAGAGCGUAUGCUUCGCAUGUAUGAGGUCCUUGGUUCAAUCUCCAGCAUCUCCA